GCCUCGCGAGGUAAAAGGUCAACAGACGCCGUACGUCACUGCACAGACAAGGCGGGCGAUGAGGCCCAUGUCCAUGUCCCCCCGGCCCGGGCCCGGCCCAGUCACGAAGCCUCAUCCUAACUCUACUCCCACUUUCUCACCUUUACCAAUCAUUCGUUUACUUUUCCAAACGAGAAAAAAUCGUAAGGAAUAACUUUUUUCUAGUGGUCAGCACUUCUGAGCUGUUCGGGAACUUUUAAAGAUAGUUAGCCCUGACAAUGGCAUUUAUGCUUGAUGGGGAAGAAAAAGCACCUGCAGAUUUUGAGUCCAUGAAUGUCAAAUGGAAUCAUUAGUACUGAAGUUACAUUGCCAUUUUAAAUAGUAUGCGAUGCGUUUAAGACCAUCAAAUUGCUCGUUCUUUACGGGGAAAUCCGCCGACAGAAAGCUAUUCUCAUUGACGUGGCCUCUACCAGGUACUGGAAAGGAUUGAAUGACCAUCAUGCCUUCUAAACCUCAUUCAGUCCUUCAAUGAGAUUAUGCACAGUGCAGUGCAAUUUGAUGGUGCUACAUCAGUUUCCCCAUGAGAAGAGUGCAGCAAGGCUGUGUCCUAACUCCCAUUCUGUUCGGCAUCUUCCUCUCUGCCUUUCUGUCCUUUGCCUUCCCAACAGACACAGAAGGAGUGUAUCUUGACAGCAGAAGCGACAGGAAGCUCUUCAAUCUAGCAAGGUUGAAAGUCAAGAUAAAGGUACAAACUGCACUUAUAAGGGACCUCCUGUAUGCUGAUGAUGCUACACUCAUCACCCCAAUGGAAACAUAGAAACAUAGAAAUUAGGUGCAGGAGUAGGCCCUUCGAGCCUGCACCGCCAUUCAAUAUGAUCAUGGCUGAUCAUCCAACUCAGUAUCCCGUACCUGCCUUCUCUCCAUACCCCCUGAUCCCCUUAGCCACAAGGGCCACAUCUAACUCCCUCUUAAAUAUAGCCAAUGAACUGGCCUCAACUACCCUCUGUGGCAGAGAGUUCCAGAGAUUCACCACUCUCUGUGUGAAAAAAGUUCUUCUCAUCUCGGUUUUUAAAGGAU
This is a long non-coding RNA of Leucoraja erinaceus (little skate), 1056 nucleotides long. RefSeq lists it as uncharacterized. NCBI's taxonomy places the organism in Eukaryota, Metazoa, Chordata, Chondrichthyes, Rajiformes, Rajidae. The transcript has 3 exons. The record is from RefSeq and is a predicted model, not a curated record.